Molecule: ribosomal RNA, 721 nt
Filed under: Salmonella enterica subsp. enterica serovar Typhimurium
Lineage: Bacteria; Pseudomonadati; Pseudomonadota; Gammaproteobacteria; Enterobacterales; Enterobacteriaceae
Description: bacterial SSU rRNA
Rfam family: Bacterial small subunit ribosomal RNA
Source: RNAcentral
GAUUGCUUCUCUUUCACAAGCGUGGGGCGGGCGAGUGAUGUAUGGGGAUCUGUCCGAUAUAGGGGGAUAACUACUGUGAACGGAAGGUAAUACCGCAUAAUCUCUCACGAGCAAAGAAAGGGAGCUUUUGUCCUUGCGCUAUCUGAUAAACCCAUAUGUGAGUAACUAGUUGGUGAGGGAAUGGGUCUCCUAGGCGAGAAUCCCUAUCUGGGUUGAGAGGAUGAUCACUCACACUGUGACUGAGACACACACCACACUCCUACCGGAGGGAGGAGUGGGGAAUAUUGCACAAUGGGCGCAAGCCUGAUGCAUCCAUGCCGCGCGUGUGAAAAAAGACCUACGGAUGUAAAGAACUUUCUUUCGGGAGGAAGGAGUGGAUGUUAAUAUCAUCCCCAAUUGACGUUACCCACACAAAAAAAACCGGCUAACUCCGCGCCACCACACGCGGCAAUACAGAGGGGGCGAGCGUUAAUCUGAAUUACUGUGCGGAAAGAGCACGCAGGCGGGGGAUUAAAUUAGAUGUGAAAUCCCCGCGCUUAACCUGGGAAUGGCAUCUAAGACUGUGACUGCUAUAGACUUGUAGAGGGGGGUAGAAUUCCAUGUGUAGCGGUGAAAUGCGUAUAGAUAUGUAGGAAUACCGCUGUGCGAGGGCGGGCCCCUGUGACAAAGACUGACACUCACGUGCGAGAGAGUGGGGGAGAGAACACAGAUUAGAUACACC